AUGAAUAUGGAACGAGCACCUUGGUCGAAUGCUGAGUUAACCCUCUGCGCGCUGCAGCAAUGCACCCCAAAGGGCCCAGCAGGGCUCAGGACUCGUAGCCUGGCCCAGGCCAGCUGCUCGGUGUGGGGCGGAGCCUCACCUGCUGCUCCGCCCCCAGGAAGCAGGUGGAUUAGUCUACUUGCCUCGCUCCCCAGACAGAGCAGGGCAGAGCAGGCUGCCAGGAGGAGGGAAAGGGAGAGCUUGGGGCAUGAGGUGUGUCUGCGUCCUGGCUCCUGCCCAUCUCUCCGGGCCGGUCCCAGGUGCAGAGCACUGAACUGGGCCUGGGAUUGUGGAUGCUGUCACAGCCAGAGAGGCACAGGCAAGGAGGAGGGCUGGGUUUCCUCCUGCAGGGCUAUCUCUGCUGCACUACCAGCCUGACCUCUGUCCAAGGCCCAGGUGGGUGUAGCUGUGGAAAGCAAGGUAUGACUUGUGGCAGGGGUUGCUGGGGAGGGAGACACAGUCCAGGGCCUCUCGCUGUCUGCUCUCCCAAGCUUACGCUCCAGAGCCUGGCAAGCUCUGAACAAUGUCUUGCACUAUGUCCACAGUAAAGAUCAUGAGAAGUCUGACUUGUAUUUUUAAAUGUUUUUUUUUUAAUCACAAAAAGUUUCAAGCAUAUACGAGAGAGAAUAACGCAGUCAUACUCGUAGGCCUAAACUUCAAUCGUAUUGAAGUGGUUGCGUGCCCCACCUUACUCUAAAUAUAUUUCUACUUCUUUCUACCCUCUGAUUGUAUUGUUUUCUUUUUUGAGCCAGGGUCUCCCUAUGUAGUUCAGGCUGACCUUAAACUCACUAUGUAGACCAGGCUGGCCUCGAACUCACAGCAGUCCUCCUGCCUCAGCCUCCCAAGUGCUGUGAUCAUAGGUGUGUGCCACCACAUCUGACUUCUACCUCCUGAUGAUUUUGAAGAAAAUCCUAGACAGUUCCUCAUUUUAUCUCUAAAGACUCUUAAGACAAAAAAAAGACAGCAAAAUAUUCCUGAACAAAAUGAGCAAUUCCUUAAUAUAGUCAAAUCCUAUUAGUGAUUGUGUUUCUCUGGUUAUCAUCGUUUUACAAGGUUUCUCCCUGUUUUCUGUUUAAUUUUGAUCCAAACAAGGUCUGUACAUUUUGAUCGGUUGCCAUAGCCUUAAAGUCACUCCUGAUCCAUAGGUGUUUUCCUGAAGAACUGGGUCAUUUGUCUCUCAGAGUUUUUCACGUUCUGGAUUUGGCCGAUGACACCCUCACUGUGUCAUUUAACAUGUUCGGUUGUCCUGUAUGUCCUGCAAAUGUAGUUGGAUGUGGGGCUUUGGUCUACUUCAGGUUCCUUCAGUUUAUCUACUUGUCCUUGUGUGCACAUC
This 1372-nucleotide long non-coding RNA is filed under the name Fukomys damarensis (Damara mole-rat). RNAcentral's name for it is "lncRNA (ENSFDAG00000021595.1)". The record is from RNAcentral. Lineage: Eukaryota; Metazoa; Chordata; Mammalia; Rodentia; Bathyergidae.